RNAcentral lists this ribosomal RNA (252 nucleotides) under uncultured Acidovorax sp. Its description in RNAcentral is "partial 16S ribosomal RNA". It matches the Rfam family "Bacterial small subunit ribosomal RNA", at positions 525 to 776 of the family's 1533-position model. The record is from RNAcentral. Lineage: Bacteria; Pseudomonadati; Pseudomonadota; Betaproteobacteria; Burkholderiales; Comamonadaceae.
ACGUAGGGUGCAAGCGUUAAUCGGAAUUACUGGGCGUAAAGCGUGCGCAGGCGGUUAUGUAAGACAGAGGUGAAAUCCCCGGGCUCAACCUGGGAACUGCCUUUGUGACUGCAUAGCUGGAGUGCGGCAGAGGGGGAUGGAAUUCCGCGUGUAGCAGUGAAAUGCGUAGAUAUGCGGAGGAACACCGAUGGCGAAGGCAAUCCCCUGGGCCUGCACUGACGCUCAUGCACGAAAGCGUGGGGAGCAAACAGG